GCUCAGGGCUUGCCGCCCGGCGCCGUCACGCUGUCUGGACGUUAUUAGAAAAAGGAAGAAAAAAAAACUAGUGUAAAAAAGGAAGUGACUUCCGACCACGUGGCCCAUCCCUGGGCGGCCCAACGGCCCCGCCCCUGCCCGCUGCCAAAUCGGCCCGCUCUGUCCCAGCCGCCGUGCUGGCGGGUCACUUAGCCGUCCCGGGGCCCUGGCUGAAGUUCUUUGAAGGAGUUUUCCCCUCCUGGCAGAGGGAAGAGAGGCUCCAGCAGAAUUUGUUCCCAACGGUCAGCUUCAUCUCGAUAAUAUGGCAUGCGUACUGUAUGCCAGGCGCUGUGCUUUGGCUUGUGAGUUCGUCUCUGAUUCAGAGGCAGUUUUUUCCAAGAGCCAGAGGGGUUAAAUGCCGAGGAGCCUGUCGAGUUCUCAAGAGGGGAAGAUGCAAAAGGCACACUCACCUGGACAGGCCGAAGUCAGAUACUUUAACAACUCCUUGAUCGUUUACCAAACAGUUUCGAGCAGCCUGUAGUGUGAGAGAUACCAGUGAGACCCCGUCCCUGGCACACAGAUUAAAGGCACAGAGCUUCUGCCCACCAGGGGAGUGAAGCCACGGAAGCCUCAUCUCCUUCAACUAGAGACCCCUUCUCACCUAACCAGAGGAAGUUGAUGCCACUGAGAAAUGUUGCAUUUCCAACACAGGUAAACCUGAAAUGAUGGCUCCAGCAGUCCUUCUCAUCCAUUUAUGAUAUGUCUUCCUGUGCUACUUCCACCCCCUCAGCCCUUGGUCCCAGGCCAAUCCUUUGAGGUCCUACCAGGUCUCGGUGAAGGAACUGCUUUGACUCCAGGUAUUCCAUGGCUUCGCAGACAUCCUUGCACAUCUCCAGGAGCUGCUGAGUCUGGAAGCGGUGGCGCAUCUCCCUCAGGUGACUGGAUUAAAUGGUUGCCAAGAGCUUCCCAAUAGCCCUCUAUCUUUCCACUGAAGAGGAAGUCCUAACUAGGACAAAUCCCCUGUCUCAGCAAGAAUACCAGCCAACACUGCCAGGUCCCAGGGGAAUUCUAAGACUGGUGUGUUUUCAGACCGUGACUGUGAGUUGCUAUUUAAGCAGUAGCAGCACCCAAUUUCCCUGUAUACCUGGUCCUCCUCAGGCGUGGGAGGAAGAGGCUUUUUUGUCUUUCGGUGAGAACUCCCAGGUUUUAAGCCUGCAAAGUAAAGAAACCAGUGAGCGUAAAGAAUGCAUCUUAAGAAAAGGCCCGGGGACAGGUUUGGUCAGGGACUUUGCUCUUGGACACAGUGCCUGUAGGCAAGUUAGGAAAAGUCGGGUGGAUACAGCCCUGGGCCAGGUGGCACAGCUUGGAGAACAGAGCACCGGCUGGGUCUUAGCCCCCACUAAUCCCCUCUUCAUGCAGCGGCCAAAAUGUACAACCUCGUGCCACGUCCCUGGGUUUGAUAGAUCUUUGAGGGUGAUGGAGGGAGAAAUUAGAUUGAUCAGAUC
Molecule: long non-coding RNA, 1484 nt
Organism: Equus caballus (horse)
Lineage: Eukaryota; Metazoa; Chordata; Mammalia; Perissodactyla; Equidae
Source: RefSeq, a predicted model, not a curated record